ACUUCUCAAUCCUAACUGGUUUUUACAAGCUAUGUUAGGAUUGGAUUUGGGCUUUGCUGCGUCAAAUGCAGCUGGCCUUAAAAGGAUUAGCUGAAUCUUGUCUAACUGAAGACUGGUUUGACUCGGCGUGAUAAUUAUCUGACCGCUGAGGACAUCGCAAGAUGGCCAGACUUUGAGACUGAGAGUCGCUUCUAAUCGUCGUUUAUUCGACAGAUUUUCACC
RNAcentral lists this unclassified non-coding RNA (222 nucleotides) under uncultured Cantharellales. RNAcentral's name for it is "sequence contains ITS2". Lineage: Eukaryota; Fungi; Basidiomycota; Agaricomycetes; Cantharellales. The record is from RNAcentral.